UACGGAGGAUCCGAGCGUUAUCCGGAUUUAUUGGGUUUAAAGGGUGCGCAGGCGGGAGAUUAAGUCGGCGGUGAAAUUUUGCAGCUCAACUGUAAAAGUGCCUUCGAAACUGGUUUCCUUGAGUGUAGAUGAAGUAGGCGGAAUUUGUGGUGUAGCGGUGAAAUGCAUAGAUAUCACGAGGAACUCCGAUUGCGCAGGCAGCUUACUAAAGCCAUAACUGACGCUCAAGCACGAAGGCGUGGGGAUCAAACAGGAUUAGAUACCCCUGUA
This 270-nucleotide ribosomal RNA is filed under the name uncultured prokaryote. RNAcentral's name for it is "partial 16S ribosomal RNA". It matches the Rfam family "Bacterial small subunit ribosomal RNA", at positions 524 to 792 of the family's 1533-position model. The record is from RNAcentral.